CGCAAGGGGAGUGGCGAACGGGUGAGUAACGCGUGGGAAUCUACCCAGCAGUGGGGAAUAACCGCGGGAAACUGCGGCUAAUACCGCAUACGCCCUUAGGGGGAAAGAUUUAUCGCUGUUGGAGGAGCCCGCGCCCUAUCAGCUAGUUGGUGAGGUAAUGGCUCACCAAGGCUUAGACGGGUAGCUGGUCUGAGAGGACGACCAGCCACACUGGAACUGAGACACGGUCCAGACACC
RNAcentral lists this ribosomal RNA (237 nucleotides) under uncultured bacterium. RNAcentral's name for it is "partial 16S ribosomal RNA". It matches the Rfam family "Bacterial small subunit ribosomal RNA", at positions 85 to 339 of the family's 1533-position model. The record is from RNAcentral.